UACGGAGGGUGCAAGCGUUAUCCGGAUUCACUGGGUUUAAAGGGUGCGUAGGAGGACAGGUAAGUCAGUGGUGAAAUCCUAGGGCUUAACCCUAGAACUGCCGUUGAUACUCUCUGUCUUGAAUACCGUGGAGGUGAGCGGAAUAUGUCAUGUAGCGGUGAAAUGCUUAGAUAUGACAUAGAACACCGAUUGCGAAGGCAGCUCACUACACGAACAUUGACUCUGAGGCACGAAAGCCAGGGGAGCGAACGGG
Molecule: ribosomal RNA, 253 nt
Filed under: uncultured bacterium
Lineage: Bacteria
Description: partial 16S ribosomal RNA
Rfam family: Bacterial small subunit ribosomal RNA
Source: RNAcentral